RNAcentral lists this non-coding RNA (28 nucleotides) under Bombyx mori (domestic silkworm). Lineage: Eukaryota; Metazoa; Arthropoda; Insecta; Lepidoptera; Bombycidae. The record is from RNAcentral.
CCUCGACUCACCGCAGGCUUCGAGCAGC